Molecule: small RNA, 105 nt
Filed under: Marmota monax (woodchuck)
Lineage: Eukaryota; Metazoa; Chordata; Mammalia; Rodentia; Sciuridae
Source: RNAcentral
GUCAGGCAUGGCAGCGCAUGCCUAUAAUCCCAGCCACUUGGGAGGCUGAGGCAGGAGGAUCGCAAGUUUGAGAUGAGUUUCAGCAACUUAGCAAGACCCUGCCCA